Molecule: long non-coding RNA, 2455 nt
Organism: Gasterosteus aculeatus aculeatus (three-spined stickleback)
Lineage: Eukaryota; Metazoa; Chordata; Actinopteri; Perciformes; Gasterosteidae
Source: Ensembl
GGGGCGGUGACAGAUGGAGAAUCAGUGUGUCAGAGAGGGAGAGAGAGGGAGGGAGAGAGGACGCACCGAGAGACAGCGAGAGCAAAGUGAGAGCGAGAGAAAGGGGUCGAGAGUGAGGGGGCCGGGAAGGAGACGGAGCGAGUGGUCCACACUUAAUACAUCCGCCGUCUUUGUGUCUCCGCGCUGGACCAGAGACGCCGGGUCUUUGUGUCUGUCGGAUGCUGAAGGUGUUGAUGGGGAUGGAGAGAGAACACAGCGGCUCUGCACUGCUCUACACCUGGACGCAAGAGCUGCACUGACGGAGGUCUGCGAAGAGGCCACAGGGUGGACAGGCGGACCACAAGGAGCCACAUCAGUGAACGUCCUCGGCUGCCAGCAGAACCAUCUCGCCAGUCGGGAGAGGUGAGGGACGAGGCCGGCCAAUCGGAGGGGGAGAGAUGUUGGGGCAGGGGGGCCACGGGGUCCUGGCUCUCAUGUCAUUAGUUCUGACACUGUGGCACCAAGCGGCACCCAUAGAAGUCCCACAAGACCGUAAGUCCCUAAGCAGUUCAUAGGACCAUGAAGCAUCCAACUAUGAGCCUUCACAAAGGCACUUUGUCUGCAAUGACCUACUGCAGCACUUUCAACCAAAAACAAUGACAGUACUGAUCAUUCCACUGCGUGUCGGAUCCUGCAAAGCCUUAUUAGCUCACAUUUAGAAACCUUUCAAAUCGCAAACUGCUGACAAAAUGUAGAACAGACUGAUGGAGCUAAAGAGUUAUUUGCCUCGUCAAAGUUGGUGCUUCGAGCCCUUUAGUGAAAGGCUGAACAUCUUAAAACGUAUUAAGUAGAUGAGGGAGACGAGGGAGACAAGGGAGACGAGGUAGAUGAGGUAGAUGAGGGAGACGAGGGAGACAAGAGAGACAAUGGAGACGAGGUAGAUGAGGGAGACGAGGUAGAUGAGGUAGACGAGGGAGAUGAGGGAGACGAGGAAGAGAGAGAUGGGGGAGAUGAAGGAGACGAGGAAUAGAGAGUUGGGGGAGAUGAGGGAGACAAGGGGGACCGGGGAGAUGAUGAAGAGGGAGAUGAGGGAGACGAGGAAGAGAGAGAUUGGGAGAUGAAGGAGACGAGGAAGCGAGAGAUAGGGGAGAUGAAGGAGACGAGGAAGAGAGAGUUGGGGGAGAUGAGGGGGACGAGGAAGAGAGAGAUGGGGGAGAUGAGGGAGACGAGGAAGAGAGAGUUGGGGGAGAUGAGGGAGACGAGGAAGAGAGAGUUGGGGGAGAUGAGGGGGACGAGGAAGAGAGAGAUGGGGGAGAUGAGGCAGAGAUGCCUCCGAGCUGGAUUAAUCGGGGGAACAACGCCUCCUCCCUUGCAGCCCCUCCCCCUCUUUUCCUUACGUCUCCUUAUCGGCGACCUUUAUCGAUGAGAGGCUUCCACACGUCAAUACACGUUAACACACUCACGCUCACUUAAACGUGAUAAUAUCUAAAGGGAUCAUUUUCGCGAUUUAAGUUCAAUAAAAGCCUCUACGGACUUCUACUGCAAGUAGACAGAUCCCAUCCAUCACUAUCAACUGGUGUCAAACCAUAGUGACCAGCAGCAUGGAUGUGAGCAUGCAUUUCCAUCAGGCUCCUCUGAUGGGGGGCGCUUCAUCUGUGUGUGUGUGUGUGUGUGUGUGUGUCAGCGGAGGAAUUCUAUUGUAACCUUUCCAGGAAACGAUUCCCGUGGUUGAAAACGUGAGCUACUUUAAAGGAAUACUCGGCUGCUUUUAUCAAAACGUCUGCGUCUGCAAAUCUUUUUGAAUCAGUAAAAACUACGUGCAGCGAACAAGACUUGUGAACACAGCAGCUUCAAACGCAGUUGUGCUUCCAUUGUGUUACCAACCAGUUCUUUGCAAGGAAAAUACACAGUUAUGACAAUGCAAUCUAACCAUCUAAUUGAUAACUUGUGUGUCUUUCUAACUUCCUGCCGCUCUCCCUUCGCUUGCACGGGGACGCCUGACAGGUGAGUCCCUGUUUCUGUGUCUCUGAGUUGUCUCUCUAAUGAUUGUAUAGCAUUAACUCUACACAUCAUAACCCUGGUUCUCAACUGGUCCGGCUUCUGAUGAAUGUGUUGUAACAUAAUAAUAUACAUGUAAAUAUGUCUCUAAUAUGAUUAACAAUCACAUCGCUAUUCAUCCCUGCUUCUCCCCGUCUCUCUUUGGCUUUCAAUUGGACUAACAGCAAAGAUCCUGCAAGACCGUAAGUAUCUAUUUUUAACAUUGUAGCACUUUAACGACACUCGUAGAAGAGAAACGGAGUCGACUGGACAACAGUUUUCGGUCAUUUGAUUAAUACAAAAAUUAUUCAUAAUUGAAUUGUUGUGUUACUUUAAUUCAAUUACAUUCAUUUUAUUUUGUUCAGCCCAAUAUCACAAAUGGGCCUCACAUUACCACAGAAAAAACUCCACGAAAAGAUUAAAAACCCUUCGAUGAAAU